Syngnathus acus (greater pipefish) is the source of this 966-nucleotide long non-coding RNA. RefSeq lists it as uncharacterized. The transcript is spliced from 3 exons. NCBI's taxonomy places the organism in Eukaryota, Metazoa, Chordata, Actinopteri, Syngnathiformes, Syngnathidae. The record is from RefSeq and is a predicted model, not a curated record.
GUGAAGAUGAGGUGUUUCUUCAAUACUCCAGUCCAAAUUUAGUGUGUGAGUGAACAACCUGCGGCAAGAUGUUUUAAUGCAGGAAAAGUCUCACACGGUCCCUCUGCCUGAGGCGACCAGAAUUCUAUCAAUCAAACGGCGAACACGCGAAACAAACCGCGAUCAGACAAACGGCACAACAGUAGACAGUAGUAACAAUGAAAUGUAUAUACUCACUUUGUGUCAAAGACGCACAUGAUCACAGCAACAUACUCAGUCGAUACCAGCAACCUUUAACUUACCGCUGCGCACAAGUGAAUGGGCAUAAUGUCUAGACACCGAAUGUAGGACGACCCCCACUUUUUCAGUCUUAUUUCAAUGCAAAAAACAUCAUCUUAUAUUCGGGCCAAUACGGUACUUUGAUUCAGGCUACAAUUGCGAGCGCCAUUACAAGAAUGAUGCGAUAAACACAUUACAAUACACAUUAUGAUAACCAAUAUUGAUGGAUUAGUCGUGCGGUAACAUGAGGUUCCGCUGUUCGAUUCCCGCUCUGCCUGAGUUACGUAGGUCGCACCUGAUUAUAAGUCGCACCCCCGGCCAAACUAUGAAAAAAAACUGCGAUUUAUAGUCCAGAAAAUACGGUCUUUGAAGAGAGCUAAUUUCGACCUAUAUAAUCGACAGGCUGAGGCUUCUGUCAGACCCUAGUUCCAAAUCAAUCAAUCAAUCAAUCAAUCAUUCAAUCAUUGUCGAGUGGGAUUACUUACUCAAUUUAACUCUGUACUUGGUGUUUCAGUGAAGCCUGUGGAUCACACUAUCAUCAUUGUGGCCACAGUCGUGUUCGUCGCCACCAUGGUGCUAUCGGUGGGCGUUGGCAUUUUUGUUUACAGAAGACAACAGGCCCAAUUGUUGUAACGGAAUGUCACCGCGGCAACAAGCGAAUGACAAGCACAGACUGCAAUGGACAAUCGGGACUGCAGAAAAGAUAAU